Molecule: ribosomal RNA, 253 nt
Filed under: uncultured bacterium
Lineage: Bacteria
Description: partial 16S ribosomal RNA
Rfam family: Bacterial small subunit ribosomal RNA
Source: RNAcentral
UACGAAGGGGGCUAGCGUUGUUCGGAUUUACUGGGCGUAAAGCGCACGUAGGCGGAUUGUUAAGUCAGGGGGGAGAUCCCGGAGCUCAACUCCGGAACUGCCUUUGAUACUGAGAAGCUUGAGUCCGGGAGAGGUGAGUGGAACUGCGAGUGUAGAGGUGAAAUUCGUAGAUAUUCGCAAGAACACCAGUGGCGAAGGCGGCUCACUGGCCCGGUACUGACGCUGAGGUGCGAAAGCGUGGGGAGCAAACAGG